UUCCGGUUGAUCCCGCCGGACCUGACUGCUAUCGGAUUGAUACUAAGCCAUGCGAGUCAUUGUAGCAAUACAAGGCAGACGGCUCAGUAACGCGUAGUCAACCUAACCUAUGGACGGGAAUAACCUCGGGAAACUGAGAACAAUGCCCGAUAGAACACUAUACCUGGAAUGGCUUGUGUUCCAAAUGAUUUAUCGCCGUAGGAUGGGACUGCGGCCUAUCAGUUUGUUGGUGAGGUAAUGGCCCACCAAGACUAUUACAGGUACGGGCUCUGAGAGGAGUAGCCCGGAGAUGGGUACUGAGACACGGACCCAGGCCCUAUGGGGCGCAGCAGGCGAGAAAACUUUGCAAUGUGCGAAAGCACGACAAGGUUAAUCCGAGUGAUUUGUGCUAAACGAAUCUUUUGU
This 405-nucleotide ribosomal RNA is filed under the name uncultured archaeon. RNAcentral's name for it is "bacterial SSU rRNA". It matches the Rfam family "Archaeal small subunit ribosomal RNA", at positions 1 to 413 of the family's 1478-position model. The record is from RNAcentral.